This 433-nucleotide ribosomal RNA is filed under the name uncultured bacterium. RNAcentral describes it as "partial 16S ribosomal RNA". It matches the Rfam family "Bacterial small subunit ribosomal RNA", at positions 29 to 507 of the family's 1533-position model. The record is from RNAcentral.
AGUGAACGCUGGCGGCAGGCCUAACACAUGCAAGUCGAACGAACUCUUCGGAGUUAGUGGCGGACGGGUGAGUAACACGUGGGAACGUGCCUUUUGGUUCGGAAUAACUCAGGGAAACUUGUGCUAAUACCGAAUGUGCCCUUCGGGGGAAAGAUUUAUCGCCAUUAGAGCGGCCCGCGUCUGAUUAGCUAGUUGGUGAGGUAACGGCUCACCAAGGCGACGAUCAGUAGCUGGUCUGAGAGGAUGACCAGCCACACUGGGACUGAGACACGGCCCAGACUCCUACGGGAGGCAGCAGUGGGGAAUCUUGCGCAAUGGGCGAAAGCCUGACGCAGCCAUGCCGCGUGAAUGAUGAAGGUCUUAGGAUUGUAAAAUUCUUUCACCGGGGACGAUAAUGACGGUACCCGGAGAAGAAGCCCCGGCUAACUUCGUG